Labeo rohita (rohu) is the source of this 4452-nucleotide RNA transcript. It is a transcript of the gene named tumor necrosis factor, alpha-induced protein 8-like 1, with no coding region annotated. NCBI's taxonomy places the organism in Eukaryota, Metazoa, Chordata, Actinopteri, Cypriniformes, Cyprinidae. The record is from RefSeq and is a predicted model, not a curated record. The transcript is spliced from 4 exons.
CUUUUUUUUCCAAUCAUUGAUUUAGGUGGUUAUAGACUUGCUAAACAAAAUGUCUUUUUCCAUAUUUUGCUUAAAUUAAUUGAAGUGCUUGAACCCUGGUAAUUGCUGCUCGCAGCUAUAUUUUUCUUUAGGAAUAAUAUACACAGAUGAAUCUUUCUCAGUAAGACCAGCAACAAAUUCGGAAUAGAUAGUUUUAUGCUAAGAAAUGUGUGUGUGUGUGUUUACAGUGUGGUAUCAGUAUAAAAAUAUAAUCCUAAUUCUCCCUGAGGUAGCCUGAAACCAAUCGCAGGGAUGUUCACAGGCCUGAUGAGAAGAGCGAGACAAUAUAAAAACGUGUGAAAAUGACACGCUGGUUUCAUUUGCUAUUCUUCUCACGGCUGUUUCGGUGUGUCGUUCUGACACAGCUUCCAUUCUCUAUGCUGAUGCUCGAUCCCCCUCCGGCUGAUACCUGAGACGUGACAGUUACCAGGGACUUAAGUUCUUAAACCUGGCAAGUUCUUUUGUUUUUUUCCCCUCCUCCUUCACUUUUCUCUCCUCUAGAGUGUCCUCUGAGGAUCUAAAACCUGCUGUGUUUGUUUUCAAACGUGAAUGUAAAGCAAUUAUUUAUAUAAUAACAAACACAUAGCCUACAUAAAGAAUUCAUUGAUAUUCUGCACACCUCUCAAGGUUAGACCAUUAGCGACAUUACAUUACGGACCCCACUGGGUGGGUUAUAUCACCCUGUUUGUCCUGAUUUUUAUGUAUUAGAAGUGGAAUUUCGGAGUUAUUAAUAGCUGGCGACGACGUCAUGCAUUGACCCGAUCACCACAAUGUCCCUUCACACCUAACCUGCAAAAACGCACCGCUGCCUACUUGUCUGACCAUCAGUUGUCUUGGUAACCGCCACCAGAGGUGUAGAAAUGACCAUCUGACCACACGACAAAGAUGAGAAUCACAUUUAUAGCUCAUAUUACAAUCAGCCAGCAGAGCCUUGUAAAAUCUAAUGCUUUGUCUUAUCAAAAUUCAGCACAGAAAUCAGAAAAUGUGCAUAGCAUUGGUACUUCAGUGUAAGUGUCUGACUUUAAACACAGCACAGCUGUUGAAUAGCAUCUGCGGGCCAUUAGUGUUAUAUAGUGUCGUCAGUCUUGACAGGUAACAGCACUUAUGCAUCCAAACUGAAUUUCAAAUGAACAGCGCGUUCAAGCGUUUUGCGCUAUUUAUGGCUCGCACUCAGCAUGAGAGUGACGUCUCAAAGCACAGCUUUCGCUGCUGCAGUGAUGUGUCUGGUGUCAAACAGAAGGCCCUCUGACCAGCGCUCUGGGAACGUUAGCCCACAGGAGCUACGUGGACGAUAACAUCUUUGUGACCACUUUGAAGUUGUUUAUCGGUAACACCGAACAGUGGCUUUUCAGUAUGUUGCUGCUGGCUGCAAGACCUGGUGCUGUACAUGAGAUUUUUAUUGCUUUUAUUUUUCUUAAAGUACUUUCUGCACCAUUAGCAUCAGCAAAACGCUGUUUUCAAAUUAGUUUCCUGUUCAGAAUAGCAUGCUAACAUGCUACCAAUGUGUAUAUAGAAUAUACACAAAAUAUAUAAUUUUCUGUUUGCAAUAUUACAUUUGCUGUGACAUGCAGUAUACAACCAAAUGCAAUGCUGUAUCCCACAAUGCAAUGUCCUCAACUUGACCUUCCCAUUUCCAGUGUGAUGAAUGAACUCAAAGUGAUUUGAUUGGACACCUUAUAUACAAUGUAAUAAGGUCAUGAGACAAAAAUACAUAUAAUUGGUUGUUAUCUAGCAACAUCAAAAUUAUGAGUAGUACUCAGGAUAGGAUAAAUAAGUAAGUUUACUGGAUGUACUUUAGUUUGGGUUGAUAUGAAUCAGAGACUUGUCAAGGGUAAAAUUCCUGACCUUUCUCAGAGUGAUCGUUUUUGUGGAAAUGAGAAAAGAACUGAAACCUAAAGCAGCUUGGAAUAACAAUGGUAAACGUUUGCAUUUGUGACCUUUCAAUCUUGGAUAUAUAAAUGCCACCGCCGAACUUCAAUCACACAACAAAGAAACACUUGAAAAUAUGUGCGAGAUAUACACUGACUUUCUAAUUAAUUGCAUUUUAAUUUAAUUGCAUUUUUCUGCAGGUCGUUAUAUAGCUCAUAACUGUUGUGAUUACUAAAACGUUUAAAAAAUACAAUUAAAACAUGCAUAUGUGCACUUUCAGAGAACUCGUCCAUACCAGAUAAUCCAGAAAUAAACCAAAGGCAUGAAGAAGUAUUUUCAUGCUGUAGUGUGCCAGGUUAUUAAUUUUAAAAGUCACAUCCUCAUGCGUUUUUUUAGGGACUAGCCCUGCUUGUGCUGCCCCAUAAAGCACUAGAAGGGGAGUGUGCCUCCCCUGGCAUCCUGCUAUAAAAUCCUGGGUGUAAUUGUAGCGUGCUGAGGCAGAACAGGAGUAAUCAGAUCAGUCCGAGGCAGGGAACAUACAUGAAGCCACAGCAUCAGCACUGGAUUAAAACGACCCCCCUCGCUGAUUGAGGUACGAUGGGUUCCUGCAAGUAGGUAAACGAGAUCGAGAGAGGGAGAGAGGAAAAGCCGUGAAAGGGAGUGGGAGGAAGAAUGAACCAGAAAGGGAGGCAGCGCAGUGCGAGUGAGCGAGAGAGAGGGGAUGGGGAGGGAGUCAAAGGCAGGAAGCGAGCAACAGCCAGUGAAACAGAAAUGCAGGGAGUUUGAGGGAGAGGGUGGAAAACGGAGGCCCGCCGCCAACGAGAGGACGACAGGAGCGAAGUGAGGUAAGAGAGAAAGAAGGGCAAGGGUCCAGAGGAAGAAAACACACCGGGAUAACAUCUGCGGGAGGAAACAACACACCAGAAGGUGGGGGUCAGAGUGAAGACACAUACAAGAGAAAGUUUGAAGGUAGGACAGAUGAGAAAAACAUCUCCUGGUAAUGACAAGGCCGGGACAGUUAAAGAAGGGACACGUCCUCUCGAGAGUCCCCUUCUUGGGCCGCAGAAUGUUCUCCGAGACAAAAGGGGUCGGGGAGCCACGUGUUCAACCCACCGCUUCAAACCAACUGCAAAAUGGAAUACAAAGACCUCAAGCGGACAUCCUUGCCUAUUUUGGGACUGGGGACCACGUAACGAACACCUGUGGACCAAAGCAGCAGAAUUCCCCCCUCAAUGGAUACACUGCCAAGCAGCGUCUAACCAUUCAGGGGGGUCAUGCACAGCUAGACGUGGCUGGCCAGAUUUGUCAGACGGAGUUAACCAGCGUGCGGUGGAACCGGCCUCCAGGGAAGGGGCUGCAACAUAACAGCGUCUCUGUGAACUACAGCUUGACAGAAUGCAGCUUUGUGGUCCACCGGCACCAGACAGAGCCACACCCCUUCUUGAGGAAGUGUACUCUGGACGCGCCAACACAGUUCAGAGGUCAUGGAAACUGUGGAGCGCCUGUUUGUGCAGCCGAGCAACAAUCAGGCUCUGUGCGAGGGGCCCUGCUCGCAUCGGACUGGAUGGACGCAAGUGGCACUCACAAUUCGACCUUUAAUAAGGAUGCAGAACUUUGCACCUCUAACAGACAGGGAACUUUAAGUGGAUGCCUGGGACGUGUAAUGCAAGACUUCAGCAGACCUAGUAUGCUGACUACCAAAGAUGCCGACAAGACCAAUCCUAACCACCUUAAGUGUCAAGCAAAGGUUGCCCAAGGAGAUCUCGGUGGACCUAGAAGAGGGUCUUGCGCUUUCAGCUCUAAGCACACAGAGAGAGCUAUUCGGGAGCAGAUCCAAAGAGUUGUUGUGAAUCUCGAGGAUGUUCUACAUGGCCUGAAAGAAAUACAUCUGGAAAUGAAGGAGGUGGUCCAAAAGAUAGACCUUCUGACGGCUGACAUUGAUGUGGGCCAUGAUGAACCAGGGGACACUUUCAAAGAAAGAAUAGACACCGAAGGAGUCUGCUCUAACAAGUCACCCCUCAAAACACCAACUCCAUCUGUGGCACCACCAGCAUAUCCCAUAAAAGAUCAAGGGCUGCAGGAUGCAGGUCAAAAACAGCAAUCAACUCAGGAGUUGGUCACAUCUCAAAGAGAUACAUCAGGGACAGCUCCAAGGCGCAGGAGCAAGAAGCCUCCUCCUUACCCCUACUCCAGCACAAUGGGAAGAGUCAAUCCUAAAGACAAAGGUCAGACGCCACCCUACCCCUUUAGACGGAGACUGCUCUCGACCAUUGUUUGAGCAGACCGUGGCUUCAGGGUGCAAAGCGGAGCAUCACUCACUCUAAACGGUUUACCGAGUCACAGGCACCUUUGCGGUCUAUAAAGAGGACAUGACAGAAACAUCAUGUACUAAUAAAUCUAGAGAGUGACAUGGGCAACUGGGGACCACUUCUUAGAAAUACUGUAUGUCAGAGGCAAGCCGAAGAAAUAAUCAAAGGAUUCUGGCAUACCCCAAAGAUUUACUGCGAAUUCUCUACAAGCGCACCAUUACACCAGCUUAAGAAA